This 212-nucleotide long non-coding RNA is filed under the name Capsella rubella. RNAcentral's name for it is "long non-coding RNA (CRUB_LNC003059)". The record is from RNAcentral. Lineage: Eukaryota; Viridiplantae; Streptophyta; Magnoliopsida; Brassicales; Brassicaceae.
UUUAAAAUACUUCAAACAAAUGUUUAAUCCGAUAACAGCAUAUUUUGUUUUUCAAAAUGCGUCACUAAAUAAAGCUAGAUUUUAAAAUACACCCCCUAAGCUUAUCGGCUCUAUAACUUCACAUAGAAAACGAUUUUAGUGACGACAAAAAAAAAAAAAAAGACUUUUGCCCCUCAGUAGUCAAGAAGAAGAAAUCCCAAUAUACUACAAGC